AGAGGGAGCAGCCUGUGGCCAGAGCCUAGAGGAGAGAUCAAAGACCCUGGCCGAAGUGAAGCCCAUUCUGCAAGCAACUGGGUUCCCAUGGCAUGUGGUGGCCUUAGAGGAGGUGUUCAGCCUGCCACCGUCGGUGCUUUGGUGCUCUGCCCAGGAGCCGGUGGGAUCCGAGGGGGCCUACAAGGCGGCCGUGGACAGCUUCCUCCAGCAGCAGCAUGUGCUGGGGGCCGGGGGUGGUCCUGGCCCGACUCAAGGGGAGGAACAGCCACCCCAGCCCCCGCUGGACCCCCAGAACCUGGCAAGACCGCCUACCCCUGCCCAGACUGAGGCUCUUUCCCAACUGUUCUGCUCAGUGAGGACACUGACUGCCAAGGAGGAGCUUCUGCAGACCCUGCGGACCCACCUGAUCCUGCACAUGGCCCGAGCCCACGGCUACUCCAAGGUCAUGACUGGGGACAGCUGCACACGCUUGGCUAUCAAGCUC
Molecule: long non-coding RNA, 484 nt
Filed under: Pan troglodytes (chimpanzee)
Lineage: Eukaryota; Metazoa; Chordata; Mammalia; Primates; Hominidae
Description: long non-coding RNA NONPTRT006135
Source: RNAcentral